Molecule: long non-coding RNA, 1063 nt
Organism: Bos taurus (domestic cattle)
Lineage: Eukaryota; Metazoa; Chordata; Mammalia; Artiodactyla; Bovidae
Source: Ensembl
AUAUGUAACAGGUCAAGUGAUGAUGAGAGCUGUGGGGAGAAUAAAGCAGGGAAAUGGACACAGAGGGGAAGACGGACACUUUUUUCAACCAGGUGGUCAGGGAAACAACACUGAAGCAGAAACCUGGAGGAAGUGAGGGAUUGCAUCACAUAGAAAUCUGGGGCAAGAGUAUUCCAGGUGGGGGGAAUGGCAGGAACAAAAGUUGCAACAGGUGUGGCAGAGAGACUCGUAGCUGCUGCCAACCCCUCCAGAACGCAGAGGCCAAAGAGCCAAAGACCACAGCACUUACACUGCAGGGACUUGACCAGAGCAUCCUCAGGAGUGAUAGGGAUGAAGGCCAAACCAGCUUCAUAAUCAGCCUCAGCCUUCCUGCAAAUGCUUUGACAUCCACUCUCCAGGGGAAGAGAAGGCCCAGGGAGCAGUCUGAUCCAGGUGCUGCCAGGAUGCUGGCACAGCUGGGGACACCCAGGCAUUCUAUUUGCGUAAGGACUCACCAGGCCUCCAGGGAUACAACCUGGUAAUGACUUCAGAACUGACAGCCUGGGGUAGAUGCUGCAGACUGCUUUCUACAGAAGAUAAAAUGCAGGGCUGGAGAGGCCAUCAGAAGUGAUCCCACAUGCAGACCCGCAGGAAAGAAGUUGGGAGACAAAGGCUUGGACCCAGUACAUCUUGGACUGGAAGAGCUGAAUGCCUGGAUUCUACCAGGAGUGACUGAUGAGUGCUACAUUUUACAGUGCCAGGACGGAGCAGGCAGGAUCUCGGCCAGCUGAGGAGGAGGGGACAGCGGGACCUUAUUAUGAGUGGGGAGUCCUGACACGUGUUCCAGAGACGUUAUCUUAACUGAUCUGCAUUUAACCAACAUACCGGGUUAUUGGCGGCCCUCCAGUCCCUGGUCAGAAGUCACUGAUGCUCCCUACCAGUGCUGAUGGCUCAGACUUCUACAGCAUUCUUCACCCUACCCAAGCUCUGUUCCCACCAGCUGAAUCAGGAGGGUUUGUUCCCCAAAGUUUGGGGUUAUUUUGGGGGGGGUUUUUGGUGUGUGUAUGGCAUGUGGGAUCUUAGA